This 30-nucleotide non-coding RNA is filed under the name Rattus norvegicus (Norway rat). The record is from RNAcentral. Lineage: Eukaryota; Metazoa; Chordata; Mammalia; Rodentia; Muridae.
GUGAAAAAAAAAUUUUUUUUCCAUAGCAGA